Long non-coding RNA from Halichondria panicea, 801 nucleotides. RefSeq lists it as uncharacterized. Lineage: Eukaryota; Metazoa; Porifera; Demospongiae; Suberitida; Halichondriidae. The transcript is spliced from 2 exons. The record is from RefSeq and is a predicted model, not a curated record.
UCGAAUCCAAUUGUGUACUCUUACUAUUACGUUAUGGAGUGCCGUUUGUAUCAAAAUCCUUUUUUUAAGGACAAUGUCCACGAGAAGGCGUUAUUCCUCGAGCCACGGAUAUUUACUAAACAUCAGUGUUAUAAAAAGCAGUGCAAAACAGUGAUAUUUAGUAAUAAGUACAAUACAAUACACGUAUAAAAUUACAUUGAAAACCUUGUUUGGGACAGCCAGCACUGGCCGGUUAACGGAAUAGCGAGUAGCCGUGCUUCAGGGUGAGUUUUGUGCAGUAAACAUGUAGCUAGCUAUAGCAUUCCGUGCCAAGCCGUUUGGCUGGUAUAUCGAGGUGGCCGUACUUCAGGGAGCCGGAAUAGCGAGAGUCUACUGUAGUGCAUUCUGUGUACCAAUGCAUGGGUGUGCUUGUGUUAGAGUCAUCCCGCCACACUUAGAAGGGCGUGACGUUAUCAUUUUUCUGCCAAGAAGCUAGCUGAGCAGUUAUGGAGUAUUUAUGAUUCUCUAGUACCUAGAGGUAUUGUAGCCUCGAUACCAGGCUGCAUGCACUUUUCUCAAGGCCUAUGAGGAGGCUAGGAGUAUUGUAGCCAUGCUUACGUAGGUAUAUCCACUCAAUAUUGUUGACAGGAUUGUCUUCUUUCAAAUCAGAGGCACGUACAUAGCACGUACAUACCCUUGGCUCUAUUGAGAAACUGAUGGUGGAGUCAGUGGAUCCCGUCGGACAUUAAUUAAACCCCCUCAUCGACAGUUCACUGUUUCUAUCACCACACCCUGCAUGUUUAUCAUUAAUGUUAUAAAUUA